CAGUCGCCACGGUAAAACGGAGGGUGCAAGCGUUAAUCGGAAUUACUGGGCGUAAAGCGUGCGCAGGCGGUUUGUUAAGACGGAUGUGAAAUCCCCGGGCUCAACCUGGGAACUGCAUUUGUGACUGGCAAGCUAGAGUGUGGCAGAGGGGGGUGGAAUUCCGCGUGUAGCAGUGAAAUGCGUAGAUAUGCGGAGGAACACCGAUGGCGAAGGCAGCCCCCUGGGCCAACACUGACGCUCAUGCACGAAAGCGUGGGGAGCAAACAGGAUUAGAUACCCGAGUAGUCCCUGUCUCUUAUAC
This 301-nucleotide ribosomal RNA is filed under the name uncultured bacterium. RNAcentral describes it as "partial 16S ribosomal RNA". It matches the Rfam family "Bacterial small subunit ribosomal RNA", at positions 509 to 807 of the family's 1533-position model. The record is from RNAcentral.